Molecule: transfer RNA, 65 nt
Filed under: Escherichia coli
Lineage: Bacteria; Pseudomonadati; Pseudomonadota; Gammaproteobacteria; Enterobacterales; Enterobacteriaceae
Description: tRNA-Arg
Rfam family: tRNA
About the family: Transfer RNA (tRNA) molecules are approximately 80 nucleotides in length. Their secondary structure includes four short double-helical elements and three loops (D, anti-codon, and T loops).
Source: RNAcentral
CCUUAGCUCAGUUGGAUAGAGCAACGACCUUCUAAGUCGUGGGCCGCAGGUUCGAAUCCUGCAGG